RNAcentral lists this ribosomal RNA (403 nucleotides) under bacterium. RNAcentral describes it as "partial 16S ribosomal RNA". It matches the Rfam family "Bacterial small subunit ribosomal RNA", at positions 355 to 776 of the family's 1533-position model. The record is from RNAcentral.
UGGGGAAUAUUGCACAAUGGGGGAAAUCCUGAUGCAGCGACGCCGCGUGAACGAAGAAGGUAUUCGUAUCGUAAAGUUCUGUCCUAUGGGAAGAUAAUGACAGUACCAUAGAAGAAAGCUCCGGCUAAAUACGUGCCAGCAGCCGCGGUAAUACGUAUGGAGCGAGCGUUGUCCGGAAUUAUUGGGCGUAAAGGGUACGCAGGCGGUUUAAUAAGUCGAAUGUUAAAGAUCGGGGCUCAACCCCGUAAAGCAUUGGAAACUGAUAAACUUGAGUAGUGGAGAGGAAAGUGGAAUUCCUAGUGUAGUGGUGAAAUACGUAGAUAUUAGGAGGAAUACCAGUAGCGAAGGCGACUUUCUGGACACAAACUGACGCUGAGGUACGAAAGCGUGGGGAGCAAACAGG